RNAcentral lists this ribosomal RNA (253 nucleotides) under uncultured bacterium. RNAcentral's name for it is "partial 16S ribosomal RNA". It matches the Rfam family "Bacterial small subunit ribosomal RNA", at positions 524 to 776 of the family's 1533-position model. The record is from RNAcentral.
UACGUAGGGUGCAAGCGUUGUCCGGAAUUAUUGGGCGUAAAGAGCUCGUAGGCGGUCUGUCGCGUCGGCUGUGAAAACUCGGGGCUCAACUCCGAGCUUGCAGUCGAUACGGGCAGGCUAGAGUUCGGCAGGGGAGACUGGAAUUCCUGGUGUAGCGGUGGAAUGCGCAGAUAUCAGGAGGAACACCGAUGGCGAAGGCAGGUCACUGGGCCGCAACUGACGCUGAGGAGCGAAAGCAUGGGGAGCGAACAGG